GUGACAUACCUAUACGUUGCCUCGGCGGAUCAGCCCGCGCCCCGUAAAACGGGACGGCCCGCCCGAGGACCCUAAACUCUGUUUUUAGUGGAACUUCUGAGUAAAACAAACAAAUAAAUCAAAACUUUCAACAACGGAUCUCUUGGUUCUGGCAUCGAUGAAGAACGCAGCAAAAUGCGAUAAGUAAUGUGAAUUGCAGAAUUCAGUGAAUCAUCGAAUCUUUGAACGCACAUUGCGCCCGCCAGUAUUCUGGCGGGCAUGCCUGUUCGAGCGUCAUUUCAACCCUCAAGCUCAGCUUGGUGUUGGGACUCGCGGUAACCCGCGUUCCCCAAAUCGAUUGGCGGUCACGUCGAGCUUCCAUAGCGUAGUAAUCAUACACCUCGUUACUGGUAAUCGUCGCGGCCACGCCGUAAAACCCCAACUUCUGAAUGUUGACCUCGGAUCAGGUAGGAAUACCCGCUGAACUUAAGCAUAUCAAUAAGCGGAGGAA
Molecule: ribosomal RNA, 490 nt
Filed under: Fusarium equiseti
Lineage: Eukaryota; Fungi; Ascomycota; Sordariomycetes; Hypocreales; Nectriaceae
Description: eukaryotic LSU rRNA
Rfam family: 5.8S ribosomal RNA (bases 123-276)
Source: RNAcentral